CCUACGGGUGGCUGCAGUGAGGAAUAUUGGUCAAUGGGCGCGAGCCUGAACCAGCCAAGUCGCGUGAAGGAUGACUGCUCUAUGGGUUGUAAACUUCUUUUAUAAAGGAAUAAAGUGAGGCACGUGUGCCUUUUUGUAUGUACUUUAUGAAUAAGGAUCGGCUAACUCCGUGCCAGCAGCCGCGGUAAUACGGAGGAUGCGAGCGUUAUCCGGAUUUAUUGGGUUUAAAGGGUGCGUAGGUGGUUUGUUAAGUCAGUUGUGAAAGUUUGCGGCUCAACCGUAAAAUUGCAAUUGAUACUGGCAGACUUGAGUACAGUUGAGGUAGGCGGAAUUCGUGGUGUAGCGGUGAAAUGCUUAGAUAUCACGCAGAACUCCGAUUGCGAAGGCAGCUUACUAAACUACAACUGACAUUGAGGCACGAAAGUGUGGGGAUCAAACAGGAUUAGAUACCCGGGUAGUC
Molecule: ribosomal RNA, 460 nt
Filed under: uncultured bacterium
Lineage: Bacteria
Description: partial 16S ribosomal RNA
Rfam family: Bacterial small subunit ribosomal RNA
Source: RNAcentral